This 465-nucleotide ribosomal RNA is filed under the name uncultured bacterium. RNAcentral's name for it is "partial 16S ribosomal RNA". It matches the Rfam family "Bacterial small subunit ribosomal RNA", at positions 338 to 795 of the family's 1533-position model. The record is from RNAcentral.
CCUACGGGAGGCAGCAGUGGGGAAUAUUGCGCAAUGGGCGAAAGCCUGACGCAGCGACGCCGCGUGAGGGAUGAAGGUCUUCGGAUCGUAAACCUCUGUCAGCAGGGAAGAACGGUCACUGUGCUAAUCAGCAGUGAAUUGACGGUACCUGCAAAGGAAGCACCGGCUAACGCCGUGCCAGCAGCCGCGGUAAUACGGAGGGUGCUAGCGUUAAUCGGAAUUACUGGGCGGAAAGCGCUCGUAGGCGGUAUGGCAAGUCAAGGGUGAAAGCCCCGCGCUCAACGUGGGAACUGCCUUUGAAACUGGCGAACUGGAGUGGGUGAGAGGAUAGUGGAAUUCCAGGUGUAGGAGUGAAAUGCGUAGAUAUCUGGAGGAACAUCAGGGGCGAAGGCGACUAUCUGGCACAUAACUGACGCUGAGGAGCGAAAGCGUGGGUAGCAAACAGGAUUAGAUACCCGAGUAGUC